Molecule: long non-coding RNA, 2231 nt
Organism: Daphnia magna
Lineage: Eukaryota; Metazoa; Arthropoda; Branchiopoda; Diplostraca; Daphniidae
Exons: 6
Source: RefSeq, a predicted model, not a curated record
AGUGAUAAAGGAAACGAACAGAGCAGACGAUACCAGAAAAAUUGAAGCUCGAAUAGAAACACUGAAAUGGCCGUUGAAUAAUUCAGUUUCUCUCGAUAGAUGACUCUGAUUCUAGUUUCCACCACUUUGCUCCGCCCCAAAACUGUCGAAAUUUUAGACAUUCAGACCAACGAAACGCGGUAUAGAUUCCUCUCAGCCUGAACCAACCAGGGUUCUAUGACUCUGCUAUUGCACACCUGAAUCAGUGAACACAAUCAGGUGGAUGCUACGGGAAAAGGUCAUGCCUAUUUCCCCCCGGCAACCGGAGGGGCGCUAACGUCAUAAAGUGGUAUUUUCCGCCGGCUGCCGCGGGGCGCUAAAGUCAAAAUUGUCUCUUGACCACCGGCUCCGACCCCGAUUGACAUGGACACGGUGUAAUCCCACUGAGCUUGCACGAUGCCUAGGCGUGCAAGAUACGAUAAAACUGGCCUUAUCUUCUUGACUGUACGUUGGCAGAAGUAGAGUCAAAGGAAAACGAUAUUUAGUUCCAUCCUGGAUAAGCCAAGUUUAAAACAGAUGUCAUCACUUUGGAUAAAGCAGGGCGAACCACAAACAGUCCACAGUGCCCCGUGGCUGCCAGGGGGAAAUAGUACAUUUUGACGUUAAUGCCCUACAGCUGCCGGGGGGAAAUAGAUUUUACCUAAUUGAACAUAAACUCUUAGAACAUAAGAUAAAGCAGUCAAUCCAGGAAGUUAAUUGGAUAACAAACUAAACUUUGGUGGCCGAAGUACAAAACAAGCAUGGAACAUGACCAUGAAAGACACAUUCAAAAUGGUAGUUGUAGGUGGCUGUGCUAGAAAGUAUAUUCUACUCAUUGUUCCUAUGUUUUGUAAUUUUACAACUGAAUAGCAGAGGUGACUUAUUCAUCAAUGUAGAUGGUUACAUUUCUCUUGGUAGAGGGAUUAUUGCUAAUUGAGCUUUUAUUACAGUUUUUAUUUUUAUGCAGUGAUCUGAAACUGAGACUGGAACUUCUGAGUUCAAAGCAUUUCCCAUUGUAUUAAUCCAGCAUAUUCAGUUAAAGUUCACAAUUUAGUAAACAAAUGCAUGGUGUGUGUCAAACUAGCGAUUCUAAUGCAGAUGUUAGUCUUCCCUCUUCACCAUUGCUCUCUUUUUUACAGCUUAUACAAUUAAGAAUUGUUCGGGGUUUUCAAAGAUUCCCAGUCCAAAAAUAUCGACACUUUAUAUAUAUACAUAUAUAUAAAUGUUUUAAAUUCAUUUUUCUAAAUAUUGUGUCUUUUGUCCUCGAAUAGGCAACACCGCAGGAAAGCCCAUGUUUCCGAAGUAUAUCCGUAUCCGACGCCAUUAUGACUGUUGGAUUUCUUAUUUCUCUGAGAAUGUUGUUCAGGACUUCAGGUCAUGGAAAUUGGUAGACAAAAGAUGAAAUAUGAAAUGGUCUGAAGUUGAACAUAGUAAGCUAAGCAUGCUACGCAAACUGGAGGUGCGAAAGGCAGUGGAACGGUGCUCGGAAGGUGACGGAGGACAGGAUGACUGUGAAAUUGUACAGUACGAUGAGUAACCAGUUUACAAGAAGGUUUAGAUGACAGUAAAUUGCUGAUGAAGCUUCACGAUUCCCAACUACUCAACACAUGCUGCGAUGGAAGACCACACUUAGUGGAAGAAAGAGCGCUCCAUCAGUGAGAGGAGGUGAUUUGGACUUGGUGGAAUACCUGAUGUCUUCAACAGUCGCACCGGUAUCUGUGUUUCUGCUUUCGUUCCAGCACAUUUCUAUGUCGGUAGCAUGUUGGGCGUAACAACGGAAAAUCAAGUAUGCCGAUCUGAAGAAAACAAACAAAAGCGAGGUUGCAGAUUCCAUUUGGCAGGAGCUUGGUAUUCAGCGGUGUUUACUUAGAGUAAAAUACACGACUUUGCUAGAGAGGAAUGUGUGCGUUAGAUCGAGUAAAACAUGGCUAGGCAAGAUGUAAUUUCUGAAGAUUCUAUUUGCUUUAGUUUUGGCAGUUUCGUUUAUUUGUGUGAAAGUGUUUUGCCGUUGGCUAACUGAAGUAGGUGUAAAACACCACACUCAACGGUCGAAGAAUGAACUAGAAAGUUUUGCUGUUCAUGAAUAAAAAGAUCACUUAGUAAAAAAAUGUUUGAACUUAGAUAAAAUUUGCGAAUGAUGAUUGUGUUUCGAAGUAUGUCGUUUUUAUUUCAAAUAGUUAGAAUUGCGAAAUAUAGUACAAAUGAGAAACAUA